This 702-nucleotide small RNA is filed under the name Pongo abelii (Sumatran orangutan). Its description in RNAcentral is "processed transcript". The record is from RNAcentral. Lineage: Eukaryota; Metazoa; Chordata; Mammalia; Primates; Hominidae.
CCUUGAGCAUGGACAGCCUGGAUCUGCUGGGGUAACUGAAACCAGAGAAAGCAAGACUGAGGAUAAGGGAGGGGCCUCCUGUACUCCAAGAGCACUGAAUCCGGAAAAACUCAACACAUUGAUGGAGUCAUAUAUUUAAUUUUUUCUUAAAAGCCACCUGCGGGAUAUUGUAGAAACACUGCGCUGCCAAUCACAGCUUGUGAUGUGACACAUUCAUUCUGCAAGUUUAAACUUCCCCUAGAUUGGUUCUUGGGGAAAAGCUGUGUUUCAGAGACAAGAUUGAAGAACUUCACCUGCAUAUGAUGGAGGAUGAGAAUGGGAACCACAGGUGUCAUUGGUGGUUUUGUUUUACAAAGUCUUCACAUUUCUGCUGAGUCACGGGACUAAGUUCAACACAAUUUCUACUUUCCGCCUUCCUUUGGAAUAAUAGUUUUGGAAGCCAAGUAUUAGUAUAUGAUAUCAGGUGUGUUCUCUAAAGAUUCAGGUUCAGUGGGCUGAAUGCACUUUUGUGACUUCUUUAGACCACUGAGCCCAAGGAGAAAAGUGCCAAUCUUACUAGACAUGAGGAAAAAGACACAUCUUUUGCUCUUGCUGGAAGUGACUUUCUACAAGCAGUCAUCAUCUGGUUUAUACUUGACUUGUUCAGUUUUCAUGUGAUAUUUUAUUCUCUGCCUAAUAGAUAUUAAAGUAUCAAGGUGUCAA